RNAcentral lists this long non-coding RNA (602 nucleotides) under Chelonoidis abingdonii (Abingdon island giant tortoise). Its description in RNAcentral is "lncRNA (ENSCABG00000007134.1)". Lineage: Eukaryota; Metazoa; Chordata; Testudines; Testudinidae. The record is from RNAcentral.
ACGACUGGUUCAACGUCGAACCAUUCAAAGCAACCAGCAAGCGUCCCAAUAUCUGCUGUUGGGCGACACGCCACAAUGUUGCCACCUGCAACGUGAAUCCCACCGCUGCCACCAUCAACGUCCGAGGCUGUGCAGACAGCGUCGAGGCCUGGCUGAAAAAACACAUCGUGAUCGUGGCGGCAGUGGCGCUGGGCAUCGCCUUCUUCGAGCUCCUGGGCAUCGUCUUCGCCUGCUGCCUCAUGAGGGGCAUCCGGAGCGGCUACGAGGUCAUGUAGCGGCUGGGCCAGGACUCCCGGGGGCUCCCCCGGGGGGGGGUGUCUCUGCCCCUUUAAGCUGUCAGACCCGCCUUCUUUCCACAGCGCCCCCUGGUGGGCAGAUCCUGUCCUGCAGCGGUUACCGUAUUCCUUCUAAUGGACGGGCAGCAGGUGCCUUAAACAUUUGCCAAAACCCCUCCCCCUUUUCUUACUUUAGCUGCCCCUCCCCCCGCCUCUCCAGUGCCGGGGGAGGGGAGCUUGGGGGGUCUCUGUCUUUGGGGGGAGGGGGGAAUGUUGAUAUGUUGAAGAUGUGGGGGGGGCACAAUAUUUUGAAAAUAAAAAGCUUCC